This 746-nucleotide unclassified non-coding RNA is filed under the name Hevea brasiliensis (rubber tree). The record is from RNAcentral. Lineage: Eukaryota; Viridiplantae; Streptophyta; Magnoliopsida; Malpighiales; Euphorbiaceae.
AAAUAAUUCUCUUAUCACUUGCUUUGUUUCUUUGUUAGCGAAAAUGCCGCUUGUCGAGGCCAAAGGUGGAGUUCAAGUUCUGAUGAAGAGUUCGCGAAGUGAUUUCUUGAAUGCUAUUAGACAAUCCACAACAUUUUUUCUCGCUGCGGCUCCUGACCUGUACAAAAGAAUAGAUCUCAAUGAAGGGCAGCGCAAAAUCACUUAUGGCCAACGUUAUCCUAAAAUCCAAACAUCGACUGAGCUGGUCACUGAAAAUCUUGGGGAAAAGUUCGCUUAUACUGUAAUUGCUGGUGAUAUCAUCGAAAAAUAUGCAGCCAUCGACUUCCAGGCUGCAAUACAUGCCCAUGUUCUGGGGCAAUGGGUGGAAUGGACCUGGGCCUAUAAAUAUGAUCAAAACGAUAGAGAAAAGGCUCAUGAUCUUGAUGCAGAUAUUACACAGAUUGCAGCGGAGACCCUGGCAAAACUUGAUAACCAUCUUCAAAGAGGUUCUGAGACAAAUUGAAUGGAUGACCUUUAAGUAUAUAUAUAGUACGUAAAUAAAACAGAGUCCUGCUCUGUACUCAUCCAUGCAUAUUUGCCAGAUUAUUAUUGUAUCUGUGUGUGCCUAGCUAUGUGCUAUGUGUGUUAUAGUAAAUAAAGCAGAGUCCUAUGUGUGCUUAAUGCUCUGCACUUUAUCCUAGUUGUGUCUGUGUUAUGCUCUUGUACUUUUCUUAAUUAAAAUAAAAUCCAGCUUCAGCUGGUUCAUA